Hyposmocoma kahamanoa is the source of this 405-nucleotide long non-coding RNA. RefSeq lists it as uncharacterized. NCBI's taxonomy places the organism in Eukaryota, Metazoa, Arthropoda, Insecta, Lepidoptera, Cosmopterigidae. The transcript has 3 exons. The record is from RefSeq and is a predicted model, not a curated record.
GAGGACCGGUCUAUAUAGGCCUUCAUACGCGUCACGUUUACCCAUAUUUGUAAUUUGUAUAUGAAGCAAAAUAGGAAAAUGCACAGUCAACAUAAAUGCAAAAACAAAUACUCAGUAUGAUAUGCAGCAAUCAUCGAAUUUUUCAUACAACAAUUCACUUAAUACUACGAAUAUAAAAGUUACAAAAUUAAACCCCGGCAACGAAACAUUGGUAUCAAAACUACUAGUCAGAUCAUAUCAUCAACACUGUUAUACGUCCCACUGCUGGGCAUGGGUGUUCAUCAUAAAAAUCUUUAUAAAUAUUGUACUACAUCACACUUGCUGCAUCAUGUUCUAUAUGAUAUAUUUGAAGAGAUCUUUUAAAGGAUUCCGGAGAUCAAUUAUUCAACUUCGUGCCCAGCGCUG